RNAcentral lists this ribosomal RNA (866 nucleotides) under uncultured archaeon. RNAcentral describes it as "bacterial SSU rRNA". It matches the Rfam family "Archaeal small subunit ribosomal RNA", at positions 13 to 884 of the family's 1478-position model. The record is from RNAcentral.
CCCGCCGGACCUGACUGCUAUCGGAUUGAUACUAAGCCAUGCGAGUCAUUGUAGCAAUACAAGGCAGACGGCUCAGUAACGCGUAAUCAACCUAACCUAUGGACGGGAAUAACCUCGGGAAACUGAGAAUAAUGCCCGAUAGAACACUAUGCCUGGAAUGGUUUGUGUUCCCAAAUGAUUUAUCGCCGUAGGAUGGGACUGCGGCCUAUCAGUUUGUUGGUGAGGUAAUGGCCCACCAAGACUAUUACAGGUACGGGCUCUGAGAGGAGUAGCCCGGAGAUGGGUACUGAGACACGGACCCAGGCCCUAUGGGGCGCAGCAGGCGAGAAAACUUUGCAAUGUGCGAAAGCACGACAAGGUUAAUCCGAGUGGUUUCUGCUAAAGGAACCUUUUGUCGGUCCUAGAAACACCGAUGAAUAAGGGGUGGGCAAGUUCUGGUGUCAGCCGCCGCGGUAAAACCAGCACCUCAAGUGGUCAGGAUGAUUAUUGGGCCUAAAGCAUCCGUAGCCUGCUUUGUUAGUUUUCGGUUAAAUCUAUACGCUCAACGUAUAGGCUGCCGGGAAUACUGCAAAGCUAGGGAGUGGGAGAGGUAGACGGUACUCGGUAGGAAGGGGUAAAAUCCUUUGAUCUAUUGAUGACCACCUGUGGCGAAGGCGGUCUACCAGAACACGUCCGACGGUGAGGGAUGAAAGCUGGGGGAGCAAACCGGAUUAGAUACCCGGGUAGUCCCAGCCGUAAACCAUGCAAACUCAGUGAUGCAUUGGCUUGUGGCCAAUGCAGUGCUGCAGGGAAGCCGUUAAGUUUGCCGCCUGGGAAGUACGUACGCAAGUAUGAAACUUAAAGGAAUUGGCGGGGGAGCACCACAA